CUGCUGGUUAUGUAUCUGGUUAUGUAUAUUGAUAAUCAUUAUCACGAUCAUCGUUAGCAUAGCGGAUGUUAUUUGACGACAUCAUACUAUGGCAAAGUUGUUUCCUACUAAUUAUUUGGCUAGCGAUGUAAUCAUAUUUCCAUGCCACUCUAAGUUAGUGUCGAGGGCACAAUAUACAUAUUGUUAUUCGAGAGAUGUCCUUUUUGCAACCAAACAUGCAGUAUAGAGACCAGCAAGGGGGCCCUCGCUGUGAGCAUUCCAAUUGCAAGUAUCCGGCCAGCAACCUUCACCUGUCUGCGGCAACAGCCUUCACAGGCUCAUCAUUUGUAAAAAAGAAAAUACAGAAGUAUCUUUGAUAAGGGGCCAGGAGCUGAUCUACGCUGCUAUGCCCAUCAAAGGGGCUCUGGCAAAAACCUCACUUCCAGCCUCACCUCUUUCCUGCUCACCAACGGUCGUUGAUGGGGAGAACAGCAUUAGAAACAUGUAUGGGGCCAGUACAUGGAGACUUGCAAGAUGAUGUGAUGAAGUCCAGACUGACAGAUGGGCUUGAUACUGAUGUCUCUGAAAGGAGAGAGCGCUUACACUCUGCAUAAACAUAUUUACAAGAAACA
Molecule: long non-coding RNA, 611 nt
Organism: Oncorhynchus gorbuscha (pink salmon)
Lineage: Eukaryota; Metazoa; Chordata; Actinopteri; Salmoniformes; Salmonidae
Exons: 3
Source: RefSeq, a predicted model, not a curated record